UACGGAGGGGGCGAGCGUUAUUCGGAAUUAUUGGGCGUAAAGGGCGCGUAGGCGGCCUAGCAAGUCAAAGGUGAAAUCCCUCGGCUCAACUGAGGAACUGCCUUUGAAACUGCGAGGCUUGAGGCCGGGAGGGGGUAGCGGAAUUCCCAGUGCAGCGGUGAAAUGCGUAGAUAUUGGGAGGAACACCAGUGGCGAAGGCGGCUGCCUGGACCGGUUCUGACGCUGAUGCGCGAAAGCGUGGGUAGCAAACAGG
Molecule: ribosomal RNA, 253 nt
Filed under: uncultured bacterium
Lineage: Bacteria
Description: partial 16S ribosomal RNA
Rfam family: Bacterial small subunit ribosomal RNA
Source: RNAcentral